GAUCAUGGCUCAGAUUGAACGCUGGCGGCAUGCUUUACACAUGCAAGUCGAACGGUAACAGGUCUUCGGAUGCUGACGAGUGGCGAACGGGUGAGUAAUGUAUCGGAACGUGCCCAGUAGUGGGGGAUAACUACUCGAAAGGGUGGCUAAUACCGCAUGAGAACUGAGGUUGAAAGCGGGGGACCUUCGGGCCUCGCGCUACUGGAGCGGCCGAUAUCAGAUUAGGUAGUUGGUGGGGUAAAGGCCUACCAAGCCGACGAUCUGUAGCUGGUCUGAGAGGACGACCAGCCACACUGGGACUGAGACACGGCCCAGACUCCUACGGGAGGCAGCAGUGGGGAAUUUUGGACAAUGGACGCAAGUCUGAUCCAGCAAUGCCGCGUGCAGGACGAAGGCCUUCGGGUUGUAAACUGCUUUUGUACAGAACGAAAAGGCUCUGGUUAAUACCUGGGGCUCAUGACGGUACUGUAAGAAUAAGCACCGGCUAACUACGUG
RNAcentral lists this ribosomal RNA (495 nucleotides) under uncultured bacterium. Its description in RNAcentral is "bacterial SSU rRNA". It matches the Rfam family "Bacterial small subunit ribosomal RNA", at positions 15 to 507 of the family's 1533-position model. The record is from RNAcentral.